AUUAAAGUUGUUGCAGUUAAAAAGCUCGUAGUCGGAUGUCGGGCUCGGGCAAGCUGUCGGCCUUUGGUCGGACGGCAGGCUCGGGUCUUUCUGCCUGAGGAACCCGGUUGCUUUAACGAGCUGCCGGUGGACGCAGGUCGUUUACUUUGAAAAAAUUAGAGUGUUCAAAGCAGGCUAGCGCUUGAAUACAUUAGCAUGGAAUAAUGGAAUAGGACUUUGGUGCUAUUUUGCUGGUUUAUGGGACCGAAGUAAUGAUUAACAGGGACAGUUGGGGCCGUUUAUAUUUCGUUGUCAGAGGUGAAAUUCUUGGAUUUACGAAAGAUAAACUUCUGCGAAAGCAUUCGGCAAGGAUGUUUUCAUUGAUCAAGAACGAAAGUUAGGGGAUCGAAGACGAUCAGAUACCGUCGUAGUCUUAACCAUAAACUAUGCCGACUAGGGAUCAGUGGAUGUCGAUUUGCGACUCCAUUGGCACCUUGUGAGAAAUCAAAGUUUUUGGGUUCCGGGGGGAGUAUGGUCGCAAGGCUGAAACUUAAAGGAAUUGACGG
Molecule: ribosomal RNA, 545 nt
Filed under: uncultured Cryptophyta
Lineage: Eukaryota; Cryptophyceae
Description: SSU rRNA
Rfam family: Eukaryotic small subunit ribosomal RNA
Source: RNAcentral